This 497-nucleotide ribosomal RNA is filed under the name uncultured bacterium. RNAcentral's name for it is "partial 16S ribosomal RNA". It matches the Rfam family "Bacterial small subunit ribosomal RNA", at positions 28 to 507 of the family's 1533-position model. The record is from RNAcentral.
GAUGAACGCUGGCGGCGUGCCUAAUACAUGCAAGUCGAGCGAACAGACGAGGAGCUUACUCCUCUGACGUUAGCGGCGGACGGGUGAGUAACACGUGGAUAACCUACCUAUAAGACUGGGAUAACUUCGGGAAACCGGAGCUAAUACCGGAUAACAUGUUGAACCGCAUGGUUCAACAGUGAAAGACGGUCUUGCUGUCACUUAUAGAUGGAUCCGCGUCGCAUUAGCUAGUUGGUAAGGUAACGGCUUACCAAGGCAACGAUGCGUAGCCGACCUGAGAGGGUGAUCGGCCACACUGGAACUGAGACACGGUCCAGACUCCUACGGGAGGCAGCAGUAGGGAAUCUUCCGCAAUGGGCGAAAGCCUGACGGAGCAACGCCGCGUGAGUGAAGAAGGCCUUCGGAUCGUAAAACUCUGUUAUUAGGGAAGAACAAAUGUGUAAGUAACUAUGCACGUCUUGACGGUACCUAAUCAGAAAGCCACGGCUAACUACGUG